GGCAAUCAAGUUCCAUGCAUAAUGAGCAGUUUAAAACCACGAAGGAGAAAGGGUGACAGACACAAGGAUUGUGGCAGACAGGCCCCGUUGUUGAUUGAAUAUGUGAAUGCAGACCCAUGGAUACAUAGAGCCUACUCUGGAUGUGUAUAUGUAGAUCGUGUAUAUUCAAGAAGUAAAAUCAAAGAUAAUUCACAAAAGCCAAAGCUAAAUAUUGUCCCUGAAGGGAGAAGAGGGUUCUACUUAACUCUUCACAACCAGCAUGAAGGAGGCUGGAGAGAAGGAAAGAAGGCUGAAAGGAAGGAUCUAGACCCCUGAGGAGCCUGAGGACAUGGUAAAACAAUAAAGGACUUCUCCAGGCAAAGUAGUCA
This is an RNA transcript of Mus musculus (house mouse), 368 nucleotides long. It is a transcript of the gene named predicted gene 4633, with no coding region annotated. Lineage: Eukaryota; Metazoa; Chordata; Mammalia; Rodentia; Muridae. The record is from RefSeq and is a predicted model, not a curated record. The transcript is spliced from 3 exons.